Molecule: long non-coding RNA, 777 nt
Filed under: Bos indicus x Bos taurus (hybrid cattle)
Lineage: Eukaryota; Metazoa; Chordata; Mammalia; Artiodactyla; Bovidae
Description: lncRNA (ENSBIXG00000004397.1)
Source: RNAcentral
UGGUGUGUGUCAGGGUGACCGUGUGCCAGUGCCCAUCACAUUUGCCAGGCUUCCUUGAAGCUAGGUGUGAGCAUGUGAACAUUUCUGGCCACAAGGCAAGCUGAAGUUUGUGGGCAGAAGAUUUUGGAAAGCUCCUUAAAGGAGAGACAGCCCGUUUGUCUUUCCCUGCUUGCUCCUUCCUGGUGCCCUGGCUUUCAGAGGUGACGGCAAGUGCUCCAGCAGCCAUCUGGAUCCUAAAGUAACCUUGACGAUGGAAGCUAUGUUCGGAGGGUGACAGAGCAGACACAUAAACCUGGGUUCCUGAUUUACAUUGUAUCUCCUUACCAGAGCUUCUUUUAGAGUUCAAGAGGAGCAUUUCUUUGGGGAUUUUACAAAGAUUGCAUCUUUUCAGUUGCUUUCCAACUGGGUCAGUCUGCUGGAGCAGGCAUCAGAGGUAAAUGUUGGGAUAAGGAAAAAAUGGGGCUCUAAAAGGCCAGUCCAGGGAAAAAUAAGAUGUUUAGGAGAGUUCCGUACUUCCCAGUUGCGUCACCUUGGACAAGUCAGAUAACAGCUCUAACUUCAGACUUUUACUUAAGAGCUGCAGCAGGAAGUGAGUGAGAUCAUUAUUACAUGAUACUGUUCAUAGUAAUUACGCAAAUAAUGUUUCUUUUUACUGAUUUACUAAAAUAGACAUUGAGAGGACCUGCCUCUUGGCCAUCAAAAAGUAGGUGGAAAUAUUUUUACUUGUCUGAAUUGGCAUGCUUCGACAAAUAAAAAGCUCACUGUUUCUUUCCUGCA